Long non-coding RNA from Cavia porcellus (domestic guinea pig), 4549 nucleotides. RefSeq lists it as uncharacterized. The record is from RefSeq and is a predicted model, not a curated record. The transcript is spliced from 7 exons. NCBI's taxonomy places the organism in Eukaryota, Metazoa, Chordata, Mammalia, Rodentia, Caviidae.
AUUUACUCUUUCAAAGAACCAACUCUUCAUCAAUUUGUUGUAUUGUUUUCUUAGUCUCAAUUGUGUUCACUUCUAUUCUGAUAGUUAUUAUUUCCUCUCUUGUAUGGACUUUGUUACUUUUGCUUUGACAGGUCACCAGAGCCACCUGUCUACUGUUUACAACUAAGCCAGAAUCCUACUGUGUAACUAGGGGUUAUUAUAGGUCCAAUUUGGUUUCUCCUGUUGGGGAAGCCUCACUGGCACUUUUGUCAGCCCAUCUGGUGUUCUCUGUAUGGAAGAAGACUCACCUGUGUUCUCCCUGGCUCGUCCAUGUCCUCUAGGCCACCAUGAAUGAAGCAGCUAUACUCUGCAACACCCUUCAUCCAUGAUGUUCCUAACUUGGAAGAAGUUGACCAUGGACUGAAAUUCCCCAAAACUGUGAAACAAAUGAACCUCUUCUGCUUUUUUAAUUUAGUAUUUUCCACUUGCUUAAAAUGAGAAGACAAAAGAAAAGAAGUCUAUAUUUUGGGAAGACAACUGCAGCCAGAUGUAUGAAUAAAUGUGAGAUCCAUAGGAACUUUAUGGGAGGGUGGAGAAUCAGACAAGACAGUGACUUUGAUAGUGCUUUGAGAUGAAGUGCUAUACCUAUCUCCCCACAUCCCUUCUGUUUCUUUCUUUCUGUAAGAUUUUGCUAUGUUGUCCAAGCUAGUCUUGGAUUCUGGCUGAAACCAUCUUCUUGCCUCAGCCUACUGAGUGUCUGGGGCUACAGACACGUUGCUCUGCCUGAUAGGAGAAUUGGACAAGCUAACUUCUUUCAUAUUCAGUGGUACAAGCAAAUACUUACUUUUGAAAUAAGAAAUAUAUAGGACAAUCAUUCACCCUUCAGAGCGUGCCUCAUGCACCUUCUUGGCAGUCAAGUUAGAAAAAGGAAGCAUCUGAGCAGAGCCCUUGGCAGGGCAGAGAUGACUCUCUCUUCCUCCCUGCUCUGCAAGCGAGCCUUUGGAAGGUUGCCAUCCUUACAUUUGCACGCACCAAACCUGCAAACUCACUGUCCAAACUGGGCUUCUCACUUUUGACUUACUUCCUGGGGACGUUCUAAGAGAGGAAACAUUUAUAGGCUCUGCCCAUGGCUCUGGAUGGCGCAGCACACUGGGAGUAUCUCUUAUCAGGAUUUUAGAGCUCACAUCUUCCAAACAGUGUAAUCUUUUCCAUCCUAACGUUUGCUUAUGCUCUAAAAGCAAUUCUAGCAGGUCAGAUGUACAUUGUCUCUUCCUCUCUGGAGAAUUGUAUUUGUCCUGGUUCUUGUCUUGUUUAACUGCAUUGGGGCAUUUCCUUAAAGGGUUAUCCAGGGAUGGCUUGGGCUAUAUUGGUGAGAAAUGAAUGCUCAGAGAGUUGUUAUUACAUUUCAUAAAUGUCUAGGAUGAAAGGCCCUGAGCUGCAAAGUAUAUUAUCGUUACCCUUUGUGUGAGCUAAGAACUCUCUAAUGAAAAACAGCAGCAGCAACAGUCAGACACAGGAACCUCUGUCAGGAACCUAGUCCUUCACCUCCACAGAAGAUGAUGAGCCACCCCAACAAGCUUCACUCAAGAUGCAGAAAUGUUUGCUGUUGUAUUUCACAUCUGCAACAUCCAUUAGAUCAUAGACCCUUCAGAUCCUUUAUUCUGGGCCCCUAUCAUGAAAUCAAACAGCAUAUGAGAUCUGUCCUGUGGGUUUUACACCUAUGUAUAGGUUAGUUUCUUUAAAUCUCACAACAGCCCUCUGAGGCAAACACAGUCAUAAUCAUCACCUUAUUUUGGAGGUAAAGAAGAACUGCAUGCUAAGUGGUGACUGCCAAGGUCACAUAGGUAGUAAUUAAAGAAGGAUUCAGGUUUGGCAGCCGUGCCCAGACAUCUCUAGUAAGCAGCAUACUACACUAAAUUAACACAUGCAAAAUGCUUAAACAAAUACCUGGUAUAAUUAUAAAAAUCAGUAUUAGUCAUUAUGUUCUCCUUUUAUGAGUUCUGGGCAGUUUCUAAUUUUAUGCUAUGACUGAUGUGCUCAGAAAAGUGAGUUUGUACCCAAAAGGGAACUGAAAACAACAUCAUUAGUCCAUAAAUGGCUGCUUGUUAAGCAUCCUUGAGCUGGACACUUGGGAACUACAUGGCAGAAUGAAGUUGAAGUUGACAAAAUCUUGGACUUUGCAGAGGAGAGAAGUAUGAGGUAUAUCAAAGUGAGGUCACUAUUUCAACUUCAUCUUUUUGUGGACCUUCAAAAGAUCUUUGCUUUGUUCUUGAGUCAGAAUUUUAUAGGUAGGGAAGUAUGAAGGGACAGUGGUGAAUGAAAAAUAUCUACCAGUAGCCUUGGAGAUGCUUUGUCUUCUCCUUUACCCACACAUAAGUAAUCUCGAGUCCGUAAAUGUUUUCAUCUUUAUGAGAUUACUUUUGUUUCACAAAGUCUUUGAACUUAAUUUGAAGAAAUUCCACUUGGAACAAAUACUUUGGGCCUGGGAGAGAAGCACACAGUAAAAUAUUCCUUCUGCUCUGAUCUAUACUAAGGCGUAUUCAUGUUGAAGACUUUAUGAUUUAUAUAAAACACAGGUGUCCAUGUUUAUAAAAAUCACUGUGGAGCAGGCUAUUGAUACAAAUGCUGUAAGCAUGAGUAAUUUUAAACAUUCUUGGAAUCCUCUGGGGUGGCUUGAUAUAGCACUUGAUAUAGCACAGAAACCAAUGCACUGGAAAGCAGAAGCAGUGAAUUCAGAGUACAUAAUAAAGUUUUUUCUUUAAUAAUAUUGAAAAUGAUUUAGUCCAUUUUUGAAUGAAAUAUACCAUUUAGGAAACAUCACAAUGACUCAGUAAAAUCUUACAAUGUCAGUGACUUAGAGUAAAAAGUAUUUGGGUGUCAUUCAUUCUAUCUUUGGUGGUUCCCCAGAGUUUCAUACUCAAUCUAGGACCAAGGGUGAUGGUGGAACCACUCACUGAAGUCUUGCCAGUCCCAGCAUGAGAGAGAAAGCAGAUUUUCAAAGGGUCUAAAACUGGCAACUGAUGCUUUGCUCUGCAAGUGACCCAUGUCACUUAUACUCAAAAGUCAUUGCCCUGAAUUGUAGGCAUGAUCCUAAGAAAUACAAUUCUUUCUUAUACUGAAAGGAUAGAGAAGCAGAACUAGCCUGGGAAUCAGAGAACUACUGACAAUCACAGAUAGGUAAUAUUUCAGUACAAUGUGUUGAUAGGAAAAGAUGGGCGCACCUAAGAUUUAUGAAGAGAGUCAAUGAGAAAACUCAACUUGAAGAGAAAUAAAAUGUGCUGUAAUUGCAAAUAUGUAUGGGGCUAGAUUGAGAAAGUCUUAAAUAUCAGGCUUAGGAUUUUAUCUUUUGUGCCCAAGCUGGGGAUUUUCAAAAUUGUUUUUGUCAGUGUAGAAAAUUUUAAAGUAAACUAUUAUAGAUGACAAUAUGCAAGUAAGGGAAAAAGAAUCACAUCUUGCGGAAGUGGGUGUGAGAGCCCAGAGAGCUUCGCUGGCCUCCCGGUGCCUUCUCAGGGUUUCCCAUGGGUUCCUGUAAUACAGUCUAAAAAACUCAUUUCUCAGACCUUAACACACUUUCUAGUGCAUUUCAACACUGGAGAAAUAAGAAAUCCUCAGUCAAAGGUAUAGAUAGCAACUAGAGAUUAAUUAAAAAGAUAGAUUAAAGUGAAAGAGAAAUUCAGGACAAAAAGUUCAAUAAAAAUUGCAAAAUAAUAAGACACUUAAAUCUGUUUGUUGACAAAGAUAGAUGUGUCUCAAAGAAUUAUUUGACAAACUGGUGAUUGAUUGGACUUCAGGGUUCACAGAAAGGGUGGAAUCAAAUAAAACAACAUGUUUGAGGCUUGUAAACUUGGGGGAUGAUGGAAAUAUGAAUGUUAAUAUGAAGACCAACAGGAAGAGCUUUAUGGAUGUGUCCUCUAGUAUUCAUUUAGUAGCUACUUUAUGAUAUGAUAUGAAAUGCUUGGAGAAAAUACAAAUUUAAUGUGAAAUAUGCUAGAUUUAGGUGGUGGCAGGUUACUUUCAGAUAUUUAUCCUGAAAUGCCUGAUGCACGGUUUUAAGCACAAUAUUGGCAUUAAAGAGAAUUCAGGGUUGAAGCUGUGCCUUGGGACACAUUAACAAACAAAUGAAAUGCUGUUAAUUGGAUGGAUAAUUGUAAACAAAGGCUCAUAUACAUCUGAAUCAGAAAGAGGCUUGAAGCACAGAGUAAUUCUCAUCUUCAGUGUCACUAAAGCAGAUGCUAAUCCUUAGGAAGUUUAUUAUUAAUAAUAGCAACAAUGAAGACCUCUCUGUCAUGGUUUAUAAAAGUAGCCCUCAAGCCUCUUGCAAUUAUGCACGUGAUGAAGUCUAUUGUUUGUGAUUGGUUCAUUGUCUAGUGCUUUGAUUGGUGGCAUGAGUGUUUCACCUACCCAGGGGUGGAACCAGGAUAUUAUGUGCUGGAGAAGAAGGUGUGUCUUUCUCUCUUCUUGGUUCACAAUUGCUGUUUACAGUAGUGCUGCCAUGCCACCCUGCUGUCUGGAGCCAACUGAAUAUGGACUGAAACCUUCAACGUGUGAGAAAUAAACUUUUCCUCCCCUA